RNAcentral lists this ribosomal RNA (253 nucleotides) under uncultured bacterium. RNAcentral's name for it is "partial 16S ribosomal RNA". It matches the Rfam family "Bacterial small subunit ribosomal RNA", at positions 524 to 776 of the family's 1533-position model. The record is from RNAcentral.
GACGAACCGUGCGAACGUUGUUCGGAAUCACUGGGCUUAAAGGGCGCGUAGGCGGGUUCUCAAGUCUGUGGUGAAAUCCUCCAGCUUAACUGGAGAAGUGCCGUGGAUACUGGGGACCUCGAGGUGGGUAGGGGCAUCUGGAAUUGCCGGUGUAGUGGUGAAAUGCGUAGAGAUCGGCAGGAACACCCAGGGGGAAACCAGUCGACUGGGCAUCUACUGACGCUGAGGUGCGAGAGCGUGGGGAGCGAACCGG